GUGGGAUUAGCUAGUUGGUGAGGUAAUGGCUCACCAAGGCGACGAUCCCUAGCUGUUCUGAGAGGAUGAUCAGCCACACUGGGACUGAGACGCGGCCCAGACUCCUACGGGAGGCAGCAGUGGGGAAUAUUGCACAAUGGGGGAAACCCUGAUGCAGUCAUGCCGCGUGUGUGAAGAAGGCCUUCGGGUUGUAAAGCACUUUCAGUAGGGAGGAAAGGUAGCAGUUUAAUAAACUGUUGCUGUGACGUUACCUACAGAAGAAGGACUGGCUAACUCCGUGCCAGCAGCCGCGGUAAUACGGAGGGUCCGAGCGUUAAUCGGAAUUACUGGGCGUAAAGCGUGCGCAGGCGGUUUGUUAAGCGAGAUGUGAAAGCCCUGGGCUCAACCUAGGAAUAGCAUUUCGAACUGGCGAACUAGAGUCUUGUAGAGGGGGGUAGAAUUCCAGGCGUAGCGGUGAAAUGCGUAGAGAUCUGGAGGAAUACCGGUGGCGAAGGCGGCCCCCUGGACAAAGACUGACGCUCAUGCACGAAAGCGUGGGGAGCAAACAGGAUUAGAUACCCUGGUAGUCCACGCCGUAAACGAUGUC
Molecule: ribosomal RNA, 586 nt
Filed under: uncultured Shewanella sp.
Lineage: Bacteria; Pseudomonadati; Pseudomonadota; Gammaproteobacteria; Alteromonadales; Shewanellaceae
Description: bacterial SSU rRNA
Rfam family: Bacterial small subunit ribosomal RNA
Source: RNAcentral